RNAcentral lists this ribosomal RNA (370 nucleotides) under uncultured Desulfovibrio sp. RNAcentral describes it as "bacterial SSU rRNA". It matches the Rfam family "Bacterial small subunit ribosomal RNA", at positions 1010 to 1382 of the family's 1533-position model. The record is from RNAcentral. Lineage: Bacteria; Pseudomonadati; Thermodesulfobacteriota; Desulfovibrionia; Desulfovibrionales; Desulfovibrionaceae.
GCUUUAGCAAUAAAGAACCCGGUGACAGGUGCUGCAUGGCUGUCGUCAGCUCGUGUCGUGAGAUGUUGGGUUAAGUCCCGCAACGAGCGCAACCCUCGCCUUUAGUUGCCAGCAUUCAGUUGGGCACUCUAGAGGGACUGCCGGUGUCAAACCGGAGGAAGGUGGGAUGACGUCAAGUCCUCAUGGCCUUUAUGUCUAGGGCUACACACGUACUACAAUGGCCGGUACAAAGGGCAGCCACUCAGCGAUGAGGCGCUAAUCCCAUAAAGCCGGUCUCAGUCCGGAUCGCAGUCUGCAACUCGACUGCGUGAAGUUGGAAUCGCUAGUAAUCGUAGAUCAGCAUGCUACGGUGAAUACGUUCCCGGGCCUU